GAGUGAGUGGCGGACGGGUGAGUAACACGUGGGUAACCUGCCCUAAGUGGGGAGUAACAUUUGGAAACAGAUGCUAAUACCGCAUAAAACCUAACACCGCAUGGUGUAGGGUUGAAAGAUGGUUUCGGCUAUCACUUUAGGAUGGACCCCGCGGUGCAUUAGUUGGUUGGUGAGGUAAAGGCUCACCAAGACCGUGAUGCAUAGCCGACCUGAGAGGUAAUCGGCCACACUGGGACUGAGACACGGCCCAGACUCCUACGGGAGGCAGCAGUAGGGAAUCUUCCACAAUGGACGAAAGUCUGAUGGAGCAACGCCGCGUGAGUGAAGAAGGUUUUCGGAUCGUAAAACUCUGUUGUUGGAGAAGAAUGUAUCUGAUAGUAACUGAUCAGGUAGUGACGGUAUCCAACCAGAAAGCCACGGCUAACUACGUG
This 431-nucleotide ribosomal RNA is filed under the name uncultured bacterium. RNAcentral's name for it is "bacterial SSU rRNA". It matches the Rfam family "Bacterial small subunit ribosomal RNA", at positions 89 to 507 of the family's 1533-position model. The record is from RNAcentral.